Long non-coding RNA from Brassica napus (rape), 1396 nucleotides. RefSeq lists it as uncharacterized. NCBI's taxonomy places the organism in Eukaryota, Viridiplantae, Streptophyta, Magnoliopsida, Brassicales, Brassicaceae. The record is from RefSeq and is a predicted model, not a curated record. The transcript has 3 exons.
CAAUAAAAAUGUUUUUGACUGCCAUGUCACUACCGUUUUUGUAGACCGAAGAGAAAAUGGGCUUUCGUUUGAUUUUAAAAGUAGUUAAUCAUGACCCGUGUGAAGCCUACCUCUCCAAACCUAAUCUUCUUCGACGUAGAGUCUGGCGUUUCCAUUCCCUGCAAUCUCCGUUUCUUCUCUGUAUUUAUCACAACCAGUCUAGAUCAUUAAGUUCUGUUCUUCAAUCCUUUUAUAGUGGUAAAACGAAACCAAACAUCUGUAGCAACAAUGUUCUCACCAAAGUGGAGAUGAUAAAGCAACUAGUGAGAUUACCAAAGAUUGGAAUGGCAUUGACCAAGUCCUUCUCUGAAACCCUCACAGCGCUUCUGCAAAGGUUUCAACUUUCUUCUUCUUCUUACCUCUCUCUCUCAGAUUAGAGCCUUUCGUUAAUGUGUUGUGGGUUUUUAUUUUGCAGAUUAGCUUACAUGGAGGACAAGUGAUUUCGUGGAGGAAUUACCAGGGCUAGGAGCUUCUUUUCACUAGCAACAAGGUAUGUUAAUUGUAUAGACCAUAACCCCAUCAAAGAAGGAAGAAUAAUAAAGAUCUGAUUUUUUAACAAAAUGUGAAAUUGUGUAGGUUAUCUUCAAAAACCCAAAAUCAAUGCGUAGAGGGAUACAGAUUUGUUAUCUUCAAGUAACUUUAUCCUCAGAUUUCUCAUUGUUUGAUUUGAACAUUGUAAUUGAGUUGUUUGUUGUGUGUGUGUGUGUGUGUUUGAAGUUUGGAGAUUGUGGAUCACUGGAUCAACAUGGGUUUGCAAGGAACAAAAUCUGGCUCAUCGAUGAGAACCCACCUCCCCUUGCCUCAAACGAGUCCUUUGGAAAAUCAUUUGUUGAUCUUCUUCUCAAAUCAUCAGAAGAGGACUUAAAGCAAUGGCCUCACAGUUUUAAGUUCCAUCUUAGGGUUUCACUUGCCAUAGAUGGCGACUUAACAUUGGUUUCUCGGGUUAGAAACAUCAAUGGCAAGCCCUUUAGCUUCUCAUUCGUGUUAUGCAGUCUCUUUACGCAAUAGCUUGCUCAGAGUAGAGACUUCUGUCAUGAUAAUAUUCUUUUGCCAAGCCUAGAGUCUCAGACACACAAUUUCCGUAGAGUGAUGGAUUUUUUUAACCCAAGGUGAUCCAGUGAGCAAAAGAGAGAGAAUAACCACACGCUCUUUGUUUAAAACUUGGGUUGACCACAUUGUGAAGAGUCUCCACUUUUUUAAAACCGAGAAGUCUCAACUUUGAUUGAUAAUUUUCCAUACUUAAAUGAUAGAAAAGAAUGUGCCACUGAGACAUAAGAUAUUUCUGCAGAUUUUGUUUUUGUUUUUUUGAACAUCAGUCUGCAGAUUUUCUUGAUUGCAUAAAAAUUAUUUUCUGGUA